Molecule: ribosomal RNA, 496 nt
Filed under: uncultured bacterium
Lineage: Bacteria
Description: partial 16S ribosomal RNA
Rfam family: Bacterial small subunit ribosomal RNA
Source: RNAcentral
GAUGAACGCUGGCGGCGUGCCUAAUACAUGCAAGUCGAGCGAACAGACGAGGAGCUUGCUCCUCUGACGUUAGCGGCGGACGGGUGAGUAACACGUGGAAAACUACCUUUAAGAAUGGGGUAACUUCGGGAAAACGGGGGUAAAUCCGGAAUAUAUAUUUAAACGCCAGGGUCCAUAGUUAAAAGAGGUUUUUCUUGUACUUAUUGGUGGAUCCGCGCCGCAUUAGCUAGUUGGUAAGGUAACGGCUUACCAAGGCGACGAUGCGUAGCCGACCUGAGAGGGUGAUCGGCCACACUGGAACUGAGACACGGUCCAGACUCCUACGGGAGGCAGCAGUAGGGAAUCUUCCGCAAUGGGCGAAAGCCUGACGGAGCAACGCCGCGUGAGUGAUGAAGGUCUUCGGAUCGUAAAACUCUGUUAUUAGGGAAGAACAAAUGUGUAAGUAACUAUGCACGUCUUGACGGUACCUAAUCAGAAAGCCACGGCUAACUACGUG